Molecule: ribosomal RNA, 359 nt
Filed under: uncultured bacterium
Lineage: Bacteria
Description: partial 16S ribosomal RNA
Rfam family: Bacterial small subunit ribosomal RNA
Source: RNAcentral
CCUACGGGUGGCAGCAGUGAGGAAUAUUGGUCAAUGGGCGAGAGCCUGAACCAGCCAAGUCGCGUGAGGGAGUACUGCCCUAUGGGUUGUAAACCUCUUUUGUCGGGGAGCAAAAGCCGGACGUGUCCGGCUGUGAGAGUACCCGAAGAAAAGGCAUCGGCUAACUUCGUGCCAGCAGCCGCGGUAAUAGGGGGGAGUCGAGCGUGAUCCGGUUUUAUUUGGGUGAAAGGGUGCGCAGGCGGAUUUUUAAGUCAGCGGUCAAAUCGUGGGGCUAUACCCCAUCCAGCCGUUGAAACUGGGGUUCUAGAGUGUGCGAGAGGUAUGCGGAAUGCGUGGUGUAGCGGUGGAAUGCAUAGAUA